UUAAAUUGAAGAGUUUGAUCAUGGCUCAGAUUGAACGCUGGCGGCAGGCCUAACACAUGCAAGUCGAGCGGUAGCACAGAGAGCUUGCUCUCGGGUGACGAGCGGCGGACGGGUGAGUAAUGUCUGGGAAACUGCCUGAUGGAGGGGGAUAACUACUGG
Molecule: ribosomal RNA, 159 nt
Filed under: Klebsiella quasipneumoniae
Lineage: Bacteria; Pseudomonadati; Pseudomonadota; Gammaproteobacteria; Enterobacterales; Enterobacteriaceae
Description: 16S rRNA. Bacterial SSU
Rfam family: Bacterial small subunit ribosomal RNA
Source: RNAcentral